UGGGGAAUAUUGGACAAUGGNCNUNAACCCUGAUCCAGCGAUGCCGCGUGUGUGAAGAAGGCCUUCGGGUUGUAAAGCACUUUAGGUUGGGACGAAGGGUGUUGGGUGAAUAGCCUAGCAUUUUGACGGUACCGACAGAAUAAGCACCGGCUAACUCUGUGCCAGCAGCCGCGGUAAUACAGAGGGUGCGAGCGUUAAUCGGAGUUACUGGGCGUAAAGGGCGCGUAGGCGGUGAUACAAGUGAGAUGUGAAAUCCCUGGGCUUAACCUAGGAAUUGCAUUUCAAACUGUGUUGCUAGAGUGCAGUAGAGGGUGGUGGAAUUUCCGGUGUAGCGGUGAAAUGCGUAGAGAUCGGAAGGAACAUCAGUGGCGAAGGCGGCCACCUGGACUGUAACUGACGCUGAGGCGCGAGAGCGUGGGGAGCAAACAGGAUUAGAUACCCUGGUAGUCCACGCUGUAAACGAUGAGAACUAGAUGUUGGUCUGCGCGAGCGGAUGAGUAUCGAAGCUAACGCGAUAAGUUCUCCGCCUGGGGAGUACGGCCGCAAGGUUA
This 551-nucleotide ribosomal RNA is filed under the name uncultured bacterium. RNAcentral's name for it is "bacterial SSU rRNA". It matches the Rfam family "Bacterial small subunit ribosomal RNA", at positions 355 to 896 of the family's 1533-position model. The record is from RNAcentral.